CAGAGACCCCCUUUCAUUUGGUAAGCAAAUGUUAUGUGCUUUGCUACAAAAGCACAAAAGAAGGAAAUCUGCUCUGUCCGAGGUCUCGCUUUCCGGCUGUUCCUAGAGGACCUGAUCCUACAGUGAUGACAACCGGUCAGGAACUAUACCGGCACAGGUUGACCUACUGAACGGUGACCCGGAAAGAGUUCCAUUGGACUCAGUGAGUAUAUUUUUAGGGUCAUGUCGUGUCUGCAUGCCGUGUGUCUUUUUUCUUGUGCCUCCCGGUGG
Ictalurus punctatus (channel catfish) is the source of this 270-nucleotide long non-coding RNA. RefSeq lists it as uncharacterized. The record is from RefSeq and is a predicted model, not a curated record. NCBI's taxonomy places the organism in Eukaryota, Metazoa, Chordata, Actinopteri, Siluriformes, Ictaluridae. The transcript is spliced from 2 exons.